RNAcentral lists this ribosomal RNA (795 nucleotides) under uncultured Pelagibacteraceae bacterium. RNAcentral's name for it is "bacterial SSU rRNA". It matches the Rfam family "Bacterial small subunit ribosomal RNA", at positions 41 to 884 of the family's 1533-position model. The record is from RNAcentral. Lineage: Bacteria; Pseudomonadati; Pseudomonadota; Alphaproteobacteria; Candidatus Pelagibacterales; Candidatus Pelagibacteraceae.
GGCACGCCUAAUACAUGCAAGUCGAACGAAGUAGCAAUACUUAGUGGCAGACGGGUGAGUAACAUGUGGGUAUCUUCCCUUUGGUGAAGAAUAACACGAGGAAACUUGUGCUAAUACUUCAUAAGUCUUUACGGAGAAAGCUUUAUGCGCCAAUGGAUGAGCCCGCACUUGAUUAGUUUGUUGGUAGGGUAAUGGCCUACCAAGACAGUGAUCAAUAGCUGAUUUGAGAGGAUGAUCAGCCACAUUGGGACUGAGACACGGCCCAAACUCCUACGGGAGGCAGCAGUAGGGAAUCUUGCACAAUGGAGGAAACUCUGAUGCAGCGAUGCCGCGUGAGUGAAGAAGGCCCUUGGGUUGUAAAGCUCUUUCGUCGGGGAAGAAAAUGACUGUACCCGAAUAAGAAGGUCCGGCUAACUUCGUGCCAGCAGCCGCGGUAAUACGAAGGGACCUAGCGUAGUUCGGAAUUACUGGGCUUAAAGAGUUCGUAGGUUGUUAAAAAAGUUGGUGGUGAAAUCCCAGAGCUUAACUCUGGAACUGCCAUCAAAACUUUUUAGCUAGAGUUUGAUAGAGGAAAACAGAAUUUCUAGUGUAGAGGUGAAAUUCGUAGAUAUUAGAAAGAAUACCAAUUGCGAAGGCAGUUUUCUGGAUCAUUACUGACACUGAGGAACGAAAGCAUGGGUAGCGAAGAGGAUUAGAUACCCUCGUAGUCCAUGCCGUAAACGAUGUGUGUUAGACGUUGGAAAUUUAUUUUCAGUGUCGCAGCGAAAGCAGUAAACACACCGCCUGGGGAGUACG